UACGGAGGGCGCGAGCGUUAAUCGGAAUUACUGGGCGUAAAGCGCGCGUAGGCUGUUGUGUAAGUUGGGGGUGAAAUCCCACGGCUCAACCGUGGAACAGCCCUUGAUACUGCGCGACUUGAAUCCGGGAGAGGGUGGCGGAAUUCCAGGUGUAGGAGUGAAAUCCGUAGAUAUCUGGAGGAACAUCAGUGGCGAAGGCGGCCACCUAGACCGGUAUUGACGCUGAGGCGCGAAAGCGUGGGGAGCAAACAGG
Molecule: ribosomal RNA, 253 nt
Filed under: uncultured bacterium
Lineage: Bacteria
Description: partial 16S ribosomal RNA
Rfam family: Bacterial small subunit ribosomal RNA
Source: RNAcentral